AGUGUGCUUUUGAGGAAGGUUUGGUGGCAAAGGAUUUGUUCAUGCCUGUUUAUCAAAUGGAUGGAAGAACUAUCCCCUGCCUUAUAGGAUCAUUGUGAAAAUCAAAAUAAGGCACAGCAUUGAAACCUAGUAAACUGAUGGAUGCUACAAUUGCUAUUAUUAAAGAGGAGCCCUUGAGGUCGUUGGACAAGUGGGUGCCAUGAACAGAAGCUGGCUUUUAGAAGAUUACUCUGACACAUGCAUCUGUGAGGAAGAGGAAAUACUAAGACACAUAACAACUUCAUCUCUCUGAGUGGUCUGGCGCUGACGUUUCACCACUUCAACGGUUUGGCUCGUGAUUCAGUCAUGACAGAGUCACACAGAGCUAUUCUGGCAAGAGCAAGAAUAGAAUCUGCAGGAUAAGCCCAGAGAGCUGUGUGCCCACCACACAAUAGGGGACAACUUGCCAGUGAGAAGUCAAGCCCUGGUUUAUUGUGAGGCAUGAAAUAUCAACAGCUGAAAUUUUUGCUCUGCCAACUAGAAAUGAGGCAAGACAUGUUAAAAAAAAUUUUUUUUUUUUUUUAGUAAGACUGGGAAUGUAGAAAUGCAGCAGCCUGGACAAACAAGAGGGAAGAGAAAUAAACAUACACCAGUAAUUCAGGGUCCAGACUUGCCUGCUGGAGCUCUGUUCCAACAGAACGUGAAUUCCUCUAACUGAAAUCACUUACAUGUCAUCCUAGACUUUGGAAUCUGCUGAAAGAUGCCCUGAGUCUGUAGAAGUAAUAGAUGCCCUGAGUCCAAGCAUCUCAUUAGAUCUCCUCUUGACUAUUACUUUCAUCUACUGGUUUACCGUUAUAUUAUCAACACCUACUACUAUAAUCAACACCUGACACAUAGUAGGAGUACAGUAAAAGUUUAGGCAAAAGGUCCCAAAACCUGGGUUUUUGUCUUGUUUCUCAUGGCCAAGAGGAAAUCCCAGAGGAAAAGCUGAAUACAAGGAAUUAAAGGAUAUGAGGAACCAAAGAAGAAAUACAAGGAACCAAGUCAGCCAUUUCCCAGUGGUUACCUAGAGCUUGAAGUUCUGCAUCUCACUCCCAUGGCUGUUACAUGUUGCUUGGCACCAGUUCUCCUCUUCUUGCCCUUAUUCUCGCUGCCUGCUCCUCAGAAAUCUGUGUACACACCUCCAUGUCUAGACUUCUUCCUCUUAUCUACCACUGGGUGCUGUUCUUCUUGGUUGCCCUGUGGAGUGGGGUGUCUAACCCCUGGUGCUGAUCUUUCUCACCCAGCCCAUUCCACCACUGGCCAUGACCUGAUUUGGCAGUUACUUGAGGAAAGGGAUGGCCAGUAUAAAACCUUCAAUGAAAGAGAUUUAUCUAUGAUUUUUAAA
RNAcentral lists this long non-coding RNA (1366 nucleotides) under Homo sapiens (human). RNAcentral describes it as "novel transcript". Lineage: Eukaryota; Metazoa; Chordata; Mammalia; Primates; Hominidae. The record is from RNAcentral.